Molecule: ribosomal RNA, 467 nt
Filed under: uncultured bacterium
Lineage: Bacteria
Description: partial 16S ribosomal RNA
Rfam family: Bacterial small subunit ribosomal RNA
Source: RNAcentral
GACGAACGCUGGCGGCGUGCUUAACACAUGCAAGUCGAACGGAAAGGCCUCUUUCGGGGGGUACUCGAGUGGCGAACGGGUGAGUAACACGUGAGUAACCUGCCCUUGACUUUGGGAUAACUUCAGGAAACUGGGGCUAAUACCGGAUAGGAGCUCCUGCUGCAUGGUGGGGGUUGGAAAGUUUCGGCGGUUGGGGAUGGACUCGCGGCUUAUCAGCUUGUUGGUGGGGUAGUGGCUUACCAAGGCUUUGACGGGUAGCCGGCCUGAGAGGGUGACCGGCCACAUUGGGACUGAGAUACGGCCCAGACUCCUACGGGAGGCAGCAGUGGGGAAUAUUGCACAAUGGGUGGAAGCCUGAUGCAGCAACGCCGUGUGCGGGAUGACGGCCUUCGGGUUGUAAACCGCUUUCGCUCAUGGCGAAGCUUUGUGUGACGGCAGUGGGUAAAGAAGCACCGGCUAACUACGUG